AUCACCUAGGGAUCUUGUUAAAAUGCAGAUUCCGAUUCAGUGAGAGUCAGAGACUCUGCAUUUCUGCUAAGCUUCUAAGUGGUUCACA
Molecule: microRNA precursor, 88 nt
Filed under: Canis lupus familiaris (dog)
Lineage: Eukaryota; Metazoa; Chordata; Mammalia; Carnivora; Canidae
Also listed under: 2 other names
Description: mir-544 microRNA precursor family
Rfam family: mir-544 microRNA precursor family
Source: Rfam by way of RNAcentral